RNAcentral lists this ribosomal RNA (696 nucleotides) under uncultured bacterium. RNAcentral's name for it is "bacterial SSU rRNA". It matches the Rfam family "Bacterial small subunit ribosomal RNA", at positions 144 to 817 of the family's 1533-position model. The record is from RNAcentral.
CAACAUUCCGAAAGGAGUGCUAAUACCGGAUGUGAUCAUCGUGCCGCAUGGCAGGAUGAAGAAAGAUGGCCUCUACAAGUAAGCUAUCGCUAAAGGAUGGGCCUGCGUCUGAUUAGCUAGUUGGUAGUGUAACGGACUACCAAGGCGAUGAUCAGUAGCCGGUCUGAGAGGAUGAACGGCCACAUUGGGACUGAGACACGGCCCAAACUCCUACGGGAGGCAGCAGUGGGGAAUCUUCCGCAAUGGACGAAAGUCUGACGGAGCAACGCCGCGUGAGUGAUGAAGGAUUUCGGUCUGUAAAGCUCUGUUGUUUAUGACGAACGUGCAGUGUGUGAACAAUGCAUUGCAAUGACGGUAGUAAACGAGGAAGCCACGGCUAACUACGUGCCAGCAGCCGCGGUAAUACGUAGGUGGCGAGCGUUGUCCGGAAUUAUUGGGCGUAAAGAGCAUGUAGGCGGCUUAAUAAGUCGAGCGUGAAAAUGCGGGGCUCAACCCCGUAUGGCGCUGGAAACUGUUAGGCUUGAGUGCAGGAGAGGAAAGGGGAAUUCCCAGUGUAGCGGUGAAAUGCGUAGAUAUUGGGAGGAACACCAGUGGCGAAGGCGCCUUUCUGGACUGUGUCUGACGCUGAGAUGCGAAAGCCAGGGUAGCGAACGGGAUUAGAUACCCCGGUAGUCCUGGCCGUAAACGAUGGGUACU